UAAACCUUUACUUACACCCCCUCCGCCAGGGUACUACGAGCCCAAACUUAAAACCCAAAGGACUUGACGGUGCCCCAUAUCCACCUAGAGGAGCCUGUCCUAUAAUCGAUGAUCCCCGUUUUACCUCACCACUUCUAGCCUACCAGCCUGUAUACCUCCGUCGUCAGCUCACCGCAUGAGCGCACCAUAGUGAGCACAAUGGCACCCACCAAAACGUCAGGUCAAGGUGCAGCAAAUGAAGCGGGCAGAGAUGGGCUACAUUUUCUCUUUUAGAAAAUUACGGAAGACUACUAUGAAACCCGUCAGAAGGCGGAUUUAGCAGUAAAGCAGAAACCAGAGAGUUCUCUUUAAUAAGGCACAGGGGCGCGUACACACCGCCCGUCGCCCUCUUCGACACCACCACAAAGUUAAUUACUCAAAAUAUAUAAAAAGAAGAGGUAAGUCGUAACAUGGUAAGCAUACCGGAAGGUGUGCUUGGAA
Molecule: ribosomal RNA, 480 nt
Filed under: Crinia parinsignifera
Lineage: Eukaryota; Metazoa; Chordata; Amphibia; Anura; Myobatrachidae
Description: partial 12S ribosomal RNA
Rfam family: Bacterial small subunit ribosomal RNA
Source: RNAcentral